RNAcentral lists this ribosomal RNA (253 nucleotides) under uncultured bacterium. RNAcentral describes it as "partial 16S ribosomal RNA". It matches the Rfam family "Bacterial small subunit ribosomal RNA", at positions 524 to 776 of the family's 1533-position model. The record is from RNAcentral.
UACGGAGGGGGCUAGCGUUGUUCGGAAUUACUGGGCGUAAAGCGCACGUAGGCGGCUUUGUAAGUUAGAGGUGAAAGCCCGGGGCUCAACUCCGGAAUUGCCUUUAAGACUGCAUCGCUAGAAUUGUGGAGAGGUAAGUGGAAUUCCGAGUGUAGAGGUGAAAUUCGUAGAUAUUCGGAAGAACACCAGUGGCGAAGGCGGCUUCUUGGGCCGUUUCUGACGCUGAGGCGCGAAAGCCAGGGGAGCGAACGGG